UUCCUUUUUUCACCCUCUCUCACAUCAGCGUCACCUGCUAACAUCAUCCUCCCUGGCCAGGCCCAAUUUACUGUCCAACAACCAGAGACUACACAUUCAGUGAAUGUCUUGUGGUGUUGUACACACGCACACACACUUGACAGAUUGAAGGCAGAAAAGGAAGCAAAGAGAGUUUUCCUGGAAGAAGGUCUAUUUGAUUUGGAGUAUAUUUUUCUAUGGUUUCUCUGACAACAUGGAGUACUUCUUUUUGAAAGGAUUUCUGUUGGUUUUGUUAACACGUCACCGCACAUCUGAAGGUCUGUCAACACCUGUUCAAUCCUCCUCCAAGGUCACCCUCCAAGGUGGCCGGACCUUAUCCAUAGAAUCAGAGCUGCCACCUGCAGAGGUAGUGCCAGUAUUGGCCCCUCCGAGCCUGAAGGAGGUGCAUCAAGCUGUACAGGAAGCCUCGGAGCAGGUGGAAGGUCGUGGGGCAGAGGAAGUGCUGAAGGAGCUACUGGAGAGGGUGGUAGGGGCAGCUCUGGGGCAGGUGGACGGAGGGAGUGAAGUGAAAGCAGAUGAGGGAGCAGGAAAGUUGCAGGAAGUGGUUGAAGAGGAUGCACUGUACGUUGAAAAAGGAGCUGAAGCCAUCUUAGAGGCCAAGGUGUUGGAACAGGCAGUGGAAAAGGAGCUGGAAGGUGAAGAUAUUGUCACCAAGGAAGGGUAUGCUGGUGUUGGGGAGAAGCAGGAGGUAGCAGAGGUGGAUGAAUUGGAAGAUGUAGCUGAAAAAGAGAAAGGAAUUACUGAGGGUGAGAGUGAAACUGCUGCUGGAUCUGUGGAGGAGACCACAGCACGUUUAGAAACUGGAGGCAGCAAAGCAGAUGGUGUGGAGGUUACCAAUGAGUCUCUAGACACUGGAGUCGGUCAGGGGGUUGCAGAGGCAACAUUACCUGUCUUAGAAGAAACAGGAGGCGAUUCAGCAGUAGAGGAGGCAGGGGUGGAAGGCAACAACAAGCAGGUUGAGUCGACAGAGGAAAAGGGAGCAGCAGAAACUGACAUACAGGAAGCAGAGGAAACUCAAGCUACUGUGGAGGUGGCAGUGGAUGAAGAGACAGAGAAGGAGACUGUGGAAGAGUCUAACCUGUCUAACCUUAACCUGUCUGUGGCUGAUGUGGAGCAGUUAGCAGAUGUACUGCCAGAGGAAGAAGCACAGAAGGAAGAAACCGCGGAAGAUGAAUUAGAAAAAGAUGAGACAGUACUGCCAUCUGAUAAUUAUGAGCCAGAGACCAGACAAACUGCAGCAGGAGAGCUGGUAGCGGAGGAGAAAGAGGUAGUGAUGGACACAGAAGGACCAGAAGUAGAGGACAAACAGGACCAUUUAGUGGUGGAGGGAGGAGCUGCUGAAGAGGUAGAAACAGAAGGUACAGAUGUGGGGGAGGCAGCAGGAGGUGAAAGAGAUGGAGAGAGUGAAAUAAAGGAAGAAUCUGUGGCACUGGUGAAUGAGGGGGGUGACCAACAAGCAGGAGAAGAGGUCACAUUGAUGACGUCACAUGGCAGUGAAAAGGGGAAUCAAGAAAUGCUGGUGAUCUCUGCCCCAGAGCCUGGAGAUGGUGCUGAAGCCUCAAUAGAGCAGAACACCGAGAACCAGGCUCCCACCCCGAGCCCAUCCCUAGGUGGGGUAGAGAAGGGAGAGAAUAGCCUUGGUGAUGAGAAAUCAAACCAUGGCAACGAGAUCAUCACCCCUACUGAUGACCUUUUGCCACACAACCCGGAUGUGGCCCAACCUACACUGGAUAAUUCUGUGAAGGAUGCUUCUACCUGA
This 1798-nucleotide long non-coding RNA is filed under the name Scophthalmus maximus (turbot). RNAcentral describes it as "lncRNA (ENSSMAG00000027029.1)". The record is from RNAcentral. Lineage: Eukaryota; Metazoa; Chordata; Actinopteri; Pleuronectiformes; Scophthalmidae.